CCUACGGGCGGCAGCAGUGAGGAAUAUUGGUCAAUGGACGAGAGUCUGAACCAGCCAAGUAGCGUGAAGGAUGACUGCCCUAUGGGUUGUAAACUUCUUUUAUAUGGGAAUAAAAUGUUCCACGUGUGGGAUUUUGUAUGUACCAUAUGAAUAAGGAUCGGCUAACUCCGUGCCAGCAGCCGCGGUAAUACGGAGGAGCCGAGCGUUAUCCGGAUUUAUUGGGUUUAAAGGGAGCGUAGGUGGAUUGUUAAGUCAGUUGUGAAAGUUUGCGGCUCAACCGUAAAAUUGCAGUUGACACUGGCAGUCGUGAGUACAGUAGAGGUGGGCGGAAUUCGUGGUGUAGCGGUGAAAUGCUUAGAUAUCACGAAGAACUCCGAUUGCGAAGGCAGCUCACUGGACUGCAACUGACACUGAGGCUCGAAAGUGUGGGUAUCAAACAGGAUUAGAUACCCUGGUAGUC
Molecule: ribosomal RNA, 460 nt
Filed under: uncultured bacterium
Lineage: Bacteria
Description: partial 16S ribosomal RNA
Rfam family: Bacterial small subunit ribosomal RNA
Source: RNAcentral